RNAcentral lists this ribosomal RNA (500 nucleotides) under uncultured bacterium. RNAcentral's name for it is "partial 16S ribosomal RNA". It matches the Rfam family "Bacterial small subunit ribosomal RNA", at positions 355 to 866 of the family's 1533-position model. The record is from RNAcentral.
UGGGGAAUAUUGCACAAUGGGCGAAAGCCUGAUGCAGCAACGCCGCGUGCGGGAUGACGGCCUUCGGGUUGUAAACCGCUUUCAGCAGGGACGAAGGUUUUCUGACGGUACCUGCAGAAGAAGCACCGGCUAACUACGUGCCAGCAGCCGCGGUGAUACGUAGGGUGCGAGCGUUGUCCGGAAUUAUUGGGCGUAAAGAGCUUGUAGGCGGUCCGUUGCGUCGGAAGUGAAAACUCAGGGCUUAACCCUGAGCCUGCUUUCGAUACGGGCGGACUUGAGGGAUGUAGGGGAGAACGGAAUUCCUGGUGGAGCGGUGGAAUGCGCAGAUAUCAGGAGGAACACCAGCGGCGAAGGCGGUUCUCUGGACAUUUCCUGACGCUGAGAAGCGAAAGCGUGGGGAGCAAACAGGCUUAGAUACCCUGGUAGUCCACGCCGUAAACGGUGGCACUAGGUGUGGGACCCAUUCCACGGGUUCCGUGCCGUAGCUAACGCAUUAAGUG